UGUGGGAGCGGGCUUGCUCGCGAAUGCGGUAGAUCAGUCAGCACCUAUAUUGACUGACCCACCGCAUUCGCGAGCAAGCCCGCUCCCACA
Molecule: unclassified non-coding RNA, 90 nt
Filed under: Pseudomonas brenneri
Lineage: Bacteria; Pseudomonadati; Pseudomonadota; Gammaproteobacteria; Pseudomonadales; Pseudomonadaceae
Source: RNAcentral